UCUGUGGCUUCAGGCAGUUCGUGGGAGAGGUGAAAAUGUGGGGACCCGGUUGUCGAAGUGGGCCACACAGCUAUGUCUGAGGAGAACAUUUCAUCACAGCGGUUCCCUGCCUGUGAAGGACCCGGUGGUUGACAGUGGUCUCCAGUCUACCAGGCUGUGAUCCAGCAACACGACAGAGACGAGGAGAUGGCCGAGUUGGCCAGACGGGCUGCCAAUCUGCAGUCCAAGAGCUUCAGGAUCCUGGCCCACCUCACCGGCACAGAAUAAAUGCAAGACCCAGAUGAGGAGGCCCUGCAGAGAUCAAGUUUGAGUCGGAGGUGAAAGGACCUCGCUUUCGCAAGCUGAAGAACUGGCACAACGGUCUCUCAGCUCAGAUCCUCAACAUCCCUGAGUCUCCCUUCUAAUUGAUCUGUCAGAUCUAUCCUUUACCGUUGGAAUGUUUGGAAUGCUUAGAAUGUUUAGAAUGUUGGGAAUGCUUAG
Oncorhynchus mykiss (rainbow trout) is the source of this 480-nucleotide non-coding RNA. NCBI's taxonomy places the organism in Eukaryota, Metazoa, Chordata, Actinopteri, Salmoniformes, Salmonidae. The record is from RefSeq and is a predicted model, not a curated record.